GUGUCAGCCGCCGCGGUAAUACGGAGGGUGCAAACGUUGCUCGGAAUCAUUGGGCGUAAAGCGCACGUAGGCGGACUGUUAAGUCGGAUGUGAAAGCCCUCGGCUUAACCGAGGAAGUGCAUUCGAAACUGGCAGUCUUGAGUACAGAAGAGGGUCGCGGAAUUCCCGGUGUAGAGGUGAAAUUCGUAGAUAUCGGGAGGAACACCAGUGGCGAAGGCGGCGACCUGGGCUGAUACUGACGCUGAGGUGCGAAAGCGUGGGGAGCAAACAGGAUUAGAAACCCGCGUAGUCC
RNAcentral lists this ribosomal RNA (292 nucleotides) under uncultured bacterium. Its description in RNAcentral is "partial 16S ribosomal RNA". It matches the Rfam family "Bacterial small subunit ribosomal RNA", at positions 505 to 796 of the family's 1533-position model. The record is from RNAcentral.